AUGAAGACAGAAGAUGUCAGCCAUACCCAUCCUGCGGACUUCUGAUUAUUAUCCAAACAACAGCCAGUUUGAAUUUGGUCUCUGUUUUUCCACUAAUUUAGCCAAGUCACUCUCAUUGUGAAAAGGAUCCGCUCGACUGGAGCAGAGGCUGAGUUGCACUGGUGGGGUGGUAUGUUAUAUGGAAGCCUUUCAAGCUAUGAAGACAGUGAUAGAAAAAUGUAUUUUGAGAACUGGAGGUAUUUUAUUGCUAACAUCUGGGGAAGAGAUGUUUUUUGAUCCCGUAAAGCAUGCAGUGUGCAAUCACAGAAGCCCAGCUGAGGUAGUGCACUUCAGGAAGAAUGCCACUGCUUUAAUUGCAAUAAUAAAACUU
Molecule: long non-coding RNA, 370 nt
Organism: Girardinichthys multiradiatus
Lineage: Eukaryota; Metazoa; Chordata; Actinopteri; Cyprinodontiformes; Goodeidae
Exons: 3
Source: RefSeq, a predicted model, not a curated record